UACGGGGGGAGCAAACGUUGUUCGGAAUUACUGGGCGUAAAGCGUGCGCAGGCGGUUCGUUGUGUCCGUCGUGAAAGCCCCGGGCUUAACCUGGGAACUGCGAUGGAAACUAGCGAGCUGGAGUGUGGCAGAGGGGGGUGGAAUUCCGCGUGUAGCAGUGAAAUGCGUAGAGAUGCGGAGGAACACCGAUGGCGAAGGCAGCCCCCUGGGCUAACACUGACGCUCAGGCACGAAAGCGUGGGGAGCAAACAGG
This 253-nucleotide ribosomal RNA is filed under the name uncultured bacterium. Its description in RNAcentral is "partial 16S ribosomal RNA". It matches the Rfam family "Bacterial small subunit ribosomal RNA", at positions 524 to 776 of the family's 1533-position model. The record is from RNAcentral.